AUUGAACGCUGGCGGCAGGCCUAACACAUGCAAGUCGAACGGUAACAGGAAGCAGCUUGCUGCUUCGCUGACGAGUGGCGGACGGGUGAGUAAUGUCUGGGAAGCUGCCUGAUGGAGGGGGAUAACUACUGGAAACGGUAGCUAAUACCGCAUAAUGUCGCAAGCCCAAAGAGGGGGACCUUCGGGCCUCUUGCCAUCGGAUGUGCCCAGAUGGGAUUAGCUUGUUGGUGGGGUAACGGCUCACCAAGGCGACGAUCCCUAGCUGGUCUGAGAGGAUGACCAGCCACACUGGAACUGAGACACGGUCCAGACUCCUACGGGAGGCAGCAGUGGGGAAUAUUGCACAAUGGGCGCAAGCCUGAUGCAGCCAUGCCGCGUGUAUGAAGAAGGCCUUCGGGUUGUAAAGUACUUUCAGCGGGGAGGAAGGGAGUAAAGUUAAUACCUGUGCUCAUUGACGUUACCCGCAGAAGAAGCACCGGCUAACUCCGUG
This 490-nucleotide ribosomal RNA is filed under the name uncultured bacterium. Its description in RNAcentral is "partial 16S ribosomal RNA". It matches the Rfam family "Bacterial small subunit ribosomal RNA", at positions 30 to 507 of the family's 1533-position model. The record is from RNAcentral.